AACAAGGUUUCCGUAGGUGAACCUGCGGAAGGAUCAUUGC
Molecule: ribosomal RNA, 40 nt
Filed under: Begonia chitoensis
Lineage: Eukaryota; Viridiplantae; Streptophyta; Magnoliopsida; Cucurbitales; Begoniaceae
Description: partial 18S ribosomal RNA
Source: RNAcentral